AUUGAACGCUGGCGGCAGGCCUAACACAUGCAAGUCGAGCGGUAACACAGGGAGCUUGCUCCCGGGUGACGAGCGGCGGACGGGUGAGUAAUGUCUGGGAAACUGCCUGAUGGAGGGGGAUAACUACUGGAAACGGUAGCUAAUACCGCAUAAUGUCGCAAGACCAAAGAGGGGGACCUUCGGGCCUCUUGCCAUCAGAUGUGCCCAGAUGGGAUUAGCUAGUAGGUGGGGUAACGGCUCACCUAGGCGACGAUCCCUGGCUGGUCUGAGAGGAGGAGCGGCCACCCUGGAACUGCGACACGGUCCGGACUCCUACGGGAGGCAGCAGUGGGGAAUAUUGCACAAUGGGCGCAAGCCGGAUGCAGCCAUGCCGCGUGUAUGAAGAAGGCCUUCGGGUUGUAAAGUACUUUCAGCGGGGAGGAAGGCGAUAAGGCUAAUAACCUUGUCGAUUGACGUUACCCGCAGAAGAAGCACCGGCUAACUCCGUGCCAGCCGCCGCGGUAA
RNAcentral lists this ribosomal RNA (504 nucleotides) under uncultured bacterium. RNAcentral's name for it is "partial 16S ribosomal RNA". It matches the Rfam family "Bacterial small subunit ribosomal RNA", at positions 29 to 523 of the family's 1533-position model. The record is from RNAcentral.